GAUGAACGCUCGCGGCAGGCCUAACACAUGCAAGUCGAGGGAGAAGCCCUUUCGGGGGCAGAAACCGGCGCACGGGUGCGUAACGCGUAUGCAACCUACCUUUCACAGGGGGAUAGCCCGAAGAAAUUUGGAUUAAUACCCCAUAAUAUUAUUGGAUGGCAUCAUUUGAUAAUUAAAACUGCGGUGGUGAAAGAUGGGCAUGCGUCCUAUUAGCUAGUUGGAGUGGUAACGGCACCCCAAGGCUACGAUAGGUAGGGGUCCUGAGAGGGAGAUCCCCCACACUGGUACUGAGACAGGGACCAGACUCCUACGGGAGGCAGCAGUGAGGAAUAGUGGUCAAUGGUCGGAAGACUGAACCAGCCAUGCCGCGUGCAGGAAGAAUGCCUUAUGGGUUGUAAACUGCUUUUAUAUGGGAAGAAUAAGGCGUACGUGUACGUUGAUGACGGUACCAGAUGAAUAAGCAUCGGCUAACUCCGUG
Molecule: ribosomal RNA, 478 nt
Filed under: uncultured bacterium
Lineage: Bacteria
Description: partial 16S ribosomal RNA
Rfam family: Bacterial small subunit ribosomal RNA
Source: RNAcentral